UACGUAGGGUGCGAGCGUUAAUCGGAAUUACUGGGCGUAAAGCGUGCGCAGGCGGUUCUGUAAGUCUGUCGUGAAAUCCCCGGGCUUAACCUGGGAAUUGCGAUGGAGACUGCAAGGCUAGAAUCUGGCAGAGGGGGGUAGAAUUCCACGUGUAGCAGUGAAAUGCGUAGGGAUGUGGAGGAACACCGAUGGCGAAGGCAGCCCCCUGGGUCAAGAUUGACGCUCAUGCACGAAAGCGUGGGGAGCAAACAGG
Molecule: ribosomal RNA, 253 nt
Filed under: uncultured bacterium
Lineage: Bacteria
Description: partial 16S ribosomal RNA
Rfam family: Bacterial small subunit ribosomal RNA
Source: RNAcentral